Molecule: unclassified non-coding RNA, 253 nt
Filed under: uncultured Paracoccaceae bacterium
Lineage: Bacteria; Pseudomonadati; Pseudomonadota; Alphaproteobacteria; Rhodobacterales; Paracoccaceae
Description: uncultured Rhodobacteraceae bacterium contains 16S-23S intergenic spacer region
Rfam family: Bacterial small subunit ribosomal RNA
Source: RNAcentral
UACGGAGGGGACUAGCGUUGUUCGGAAUUACUGGGCGUAAAGUGCGCGUAGGCGGCCUAUUAAGUCAGGGGUGAAAUCCCGGGGCUCAACCCCGGAACUGCCCUUGAUACUGGUAGUCUGGAGUUCUGGAGAGGUGAGUGGAAUUCCGAGGGUAGAGGGGAAAUUCGUAGAUAUUCGGGGGAACACCAGGGGCGAAGGCGGCUCACUGGCCAGAUACUGACCCUGAGGUUCGAAAGUGUGGGGAGCAAACAGG